This is a long non-coding RNA of Musa acuminata AAA Group (dessert banana), 777 nucleotides long. RefSeq lists it as uncharacterized. The transcript has 2 exons. NCBI's taxonomy places the organism in Eukaryota, Viridiplantae, Streptophyta, Magnoliopsida, Zingiberales, Musaceae. The record is from RefSeq and is a predicted model, not a curated record.
GAAAAGAAUGAAGCUAUCCACACACAUAUCUGAAUUAUUAACAAUACCGCUUUUGCUUCCUUAAAGAACAAAUGGGCGCCGAACACUGGACCGGGCCUACAGCUUUCCAACCUUCUUUUUACCUUGCACGCCUUUCUCUUAUUAGAUGAAAUUGUCUUAUAUGAAAUGUUUGAUAUGAAAUUAUCGUAUUAUAUGAUCUUCUCGGACCCUUUUUGCCAAAUCGGUGUCAAUAUCUAUAGUAUGAGGUUCAACCAUUUGCUGAGCUAGUUCUAUUCCUCUCUCCGCUGUUUCGCCUCCCGCUUGCUCUAGGAUCUCAGGCCCUAAGCUAGAGCCGGCAUGCGAGAAGCAUGUUUCCCGCACCCUAUGAGUGGUAACUUGCUCGACCCCCUGCUUCGAGAGCUGACACCUCUCAAUUCCCAGUCUACCCUUUUUCUCAACAGGAGCACCCUUAACUCCUCUUUCAGGAGCUUCGAAGUCCUCGGCUCGGGGAUGUUGCUUUUCUAAUCCCAGCUCUUGCAAACGUACUUGUACUGGGAUAUGAGAAAGGCCUUAUUUACUUUACACCACCUACAAGCUUCGGAAGGUCGAGAUUUAAGGAAGUGUCAAAGAUGUCGCCAUCUUCGGGGACAAGAACAAGCUCAAUAAAAGCUUCCUUUCGAGGAACAAGCUCAAUAAAAGCUUCCUUUCGAGGUUUCUUCUUUCUUUUGUCUUUUGAAAAUACCUAUAGGUUGAAGUUCACUCUAUAUCACUAAUGAUUCUAAGGGCAUUUAUUUGCCA